AGCAGCCGCGGUAAUUCCAGCUCCAAUAGCGUAUAUUAAAGUUGUUGCAGUUAAAAAGCUCGUAGUUGAACUUCAGGCCUGGCUGGACGGUCCGCCUUCCGGGUGAGUACUGUCUGUGGUCGGGUCCUACCUUCUGGCGAAGCGUCAUGGCCUUCACCGGCCGUGGCGGGGAGCCAGGACUUUUACUGUGAAAAAUUAGAGUGUUCAAAGCAGGCACGUGCUUGAAUACAUUAGCAUGGAAUAAUGGAAUAGGACAGUGGUUCUAUUUGUCGGUUUCUAGGACCGUUGUAAUGAUUAAUAGGGAUAGUUGGGGGCAUUAGUAUUCAAUUGUCAGAGGUGAAAUUCUUGGAUUUAUUGAAGACUAACUACUGCGAAAGCAUUUGCCAAGGAUGUUUUCAUUAAUCAAGAACGAAAGUUAGGGGAUCGAAGACGAUCAGAUACCGUCGUAGUCUUAACCAUAAACUAUGCCGACUAAGAAUCGGGCGAUGUUGACGAAAUGACGCGCUCGGGCA
RNAcentral lists this ribosomal RNA (512 nucleotides) under uncultured Glomus. RNAcentral describes it as "SSU rRNA". It matches the Rfam family "Eukaryotic small subunit ribosomal RNA", at positions 569 to 1086 of the family's 1831-position model. The record is from RNAcentral. Lineage: Eukaryota; Fungi; Glomeromycota; Glomeromycetes; Glomerales; Glomeraceae.